Molecule: long non-coding RNA, 1367 nt
Organism: Cyprinus carpio carpio
Lineage: Eukaryota; Metazoa; Chordata; Actinopteri; Cypriniformes; Cyprinidae
Source: Ensembl
AUGGAAGAUGGAUCCACCAUGUUCUCAGGUAACAAUUUUAUUAUGUUUGAUGCAAUAUUAUUUAUAAAAUGUAUUCUAGAAUUGUCGUGGAAGGGGGCAUUUGGAUGCUUUGUAGGCUACAUAUACAGUAAACAUCCUAUUCAGUUUACCUACACUACCACGUUAUUCAGACAAUACAGACCAACAUCCACCAAGUUCAUAUGGUCAUCAUGCAUGUCGUGCACUAAAAAUAGUACUGUUUCUGAUUUAUUACAGAACAAUUCCCAGAUAGCAAGAUUUUUGGUUGACCGGGAGAUCAACGGGUGGUAUACCCAACGUACUGCACCGGACACAGCUCAUUUCUGGACCCUUGGCACAAGGGUACAGGUAAGCUUGGUUAAUGUUCGAUAUGAAUGAAUUGUACCAAAUCAAAUACUAGGCUGAUUUUUAACUUGAUGGUUAGUGUAGUAACCGACGCAGUGCUGCAGUCACUGAAAUUUAUUUUUGUUUUACCAAUAUGUCAAAAUCUGCCAAAAGUACUUUGUGGUUGUCUUCUAUGUUAUAAAGUUAGCAAACCUCCAAGUCCAGUCUAUUGAUGAGUCUAUUGAUGAGUCUAUGAUGAUAGCUAGCUCAAAAUACAUGUCUGUACCCAUUGAUAAGUGUCGUGAAAAUCUAUUAACACAGCACCGUUAUUUCUUCUGACCGCCAAACCAACGCUAGCAUAGUGCUCCACCUAGCGCUACCAACAGUGACCGCGGCGGGCCAGAAUUACACAGAAGACAUGACUUACCUUUAACUUUACUUUAUUCAAUGCAGAACUGUCUCGAGAGUUGUAACUGGAAAUGCCGAUUAGACCAUCUCGUCGUAAUACAAAUCCAAAAUAUUAAUAAUCCUCGAGCAGUGCUGCGAUAUGCAUUCCAUAGUUUUGUUCUCCAUUGUGUUUGUUUUCAGAAAUGAUAACAGUUGUUUUAUACUAGUGCUUAUGCGAUAUCACAAUUUUUGAUGAUCUUCUCCAAGAUCUGCUUUUGAGGAAAACAUUUCAUUGCCGUUCUGUUCUACACCAUUUCUGAGCACGUUUGCCUACAACCAAAGCGUGCGCACUAUUAUACAGCGCCUGACAACCAGGCCUGGCGUCUGGGAGGGGAGGGGAGGGGUGGCAUAGCCCACAUACCGGUACUUCAUAAUAGAAUAUUUUUAUAUUUUUAAUAACAGAUUGGUUACCUGAGUACAUAUGUAUAAAGUACAGUCACACUGUAUGAUUGUGAAUUUUAAUUGCUGUUUUUAACAGAGAUUUUUGUCUUUUCUGUUCUUUAACAGAUCACUAUUGCACACCAAGUAAGCAAAACAACAUUUUUGAUUUCAUUUUAUUUUAUUUCUGCAAACAACUU